UACGGGGGGAGCAAGCGUUGUUCGGAUUUACUGGGCGUAAAGGGCGCGUAGGCGGUCAGCACAAGUCAGUUGUGAAAUCUCCGAGCUUAACUCGGAAAGGUCAACUGAUACUGUGCGACUGGAGUGCGGAAGGGGCAACUGGAAUUCUUGGUGUAGCGGUGAAAUGCGUAGAUAUCAAGAGGAACACCUGCGGCGAAGGCGGGUUGCUGGGCCGACACUGACGCUGAGGCGCGAAAGCCAGGGGAGCAAACGGG
RNAcentral lists this ribosomal RNA (254 nucleotides) under uncultured bacterium. Its description in RNAcentral is "partial 16S ribosomal RNA". It matches the Rfam family "Bacterial small subunit ribosomal RNA", at positions 524 to 776 of the family's 1533-position model. The record is from RNAcentral.